RNAcentral lists this ribosomal RNA (484 nucleotides) under uncultured bacterium. Its description in RNAcentral is "partial 16S ribosomal RNA". It matches the Rfam family "Bacterial small subunit ribosomal RNA", at positions 30 to 507 of the family's 1533-position model. The record is from RNAcentral.
AUUGAACGCUGGCGGCAGGCCUAACACAUGCAAGUCGAGCGGAUGAAGGGAGCUUGCUCCUGGAUUCAGCGGCGGACGGGUGAGUAAUGCCUAGGAAUCUGCCUGGUAGUGGGGGAUAACGUCCGGAAACGGGCGCUAAUACCGCAUACGUCCUGAGGGAGAAAGUGGGGGAUCUUCGGACCUCACGCUAUCAGAUGAGUCUAGGUCGGAUUAGCUAGUUGGUGGGGUAAAGGCUUACCAAGGCGACGAUCCGUAACUGGUCUGAGAGGAUGAUUAGUCACACUGGAACUGAGACACGGUCCAGGCUCCUACGGGAGGCAGCAGUGGGGAAUAUUGGACAGUGGGCGAAAGCCUGAUACAGCCAUGCCGCGUGUGUGAAGAAGGUCUUCGGAUUGUAAAGAACUUUAAGUUGGGGGAAAGGGCAGUAAGUUAAUACCUUGCUGUUUUGACGUUACCAACAGAAUAAGCACCGGCUAACUUCGUG